Long non-coding RNA from Candoia aspera, 616 nucleotides. RefSeq lists it as uncharacterized. The transcript is spliced from 3 exons. Lineage: Eukaryota; Metazoa; Chordata; Lepidosauria; Squamata; Candoiidae. The record is from RefSeq and is a predicted model, not a curated record.
CCUGGCUACGCAAAAAGGCCACGUGCGCGCGCUCCCCGCCCUUCCUUCCGCGCUCUUUGGGAGCCGGCUCCCUUUCGGGCUGCUGAGCGGCUACGCUUGGCUCCCCGUGGUUAGAAAACGCCGGGUUGGCUUGCCAAGUUUCAGCGAGGAGGUCGAUGCUAGAAAGCAGCUUCCUGGCGGAACGGAGCAAAAAUAAAGUUUUUAAUAUGGGGAGAGGCGGGGCAUCUUGGGGCCCUCAGAUUCUCCCUCUCUUAAUUGCUGAAAGCGGAAGGCGUUGUUUCUUCAUAUUUAAGCACACUAAAAGAAUAUUGCCCUGAUCAUGUGCGAUCAACACAGGAAUACAUGUUUACCCUGGGAGAAUAUCAUGUGAACACUGCCAAUACGGUAAAUCCCUAAGUAAGCCAGAGGAGCUUUCAACACAAAGGGGUUUCCUGCACCACUCUGGAUCAGUGCCAUUCUCCUCCAUCUCCAUGAUGCUGUUGGUCUUCUGCAGCUGAGCUAGUUAACUUGCUGACCAGCAGCUGUUCUAGGGGAAAUCCUGCAAAUACUGUAUUGAGGCAUUUCCUCUUGAGUUGCAGGGCAGGCAGCUUCCCUUUGGCAAAAACAUUCUCCUCAU